GACGAACGCUGGCGGCGUGCCUAAUACAUGCAAGUCGAACGCUUCUUUCCUCCCGAGUGCUUGCACUCAAUUGGAAAGAGGAGUGGCGGACGGGUGAGUAACACGCGGGUAACCUACCCAUCAGUGGGGGAUAACACUUGGAAACAGGUGCUAAUACCGCAUAACAGUUUAUGCCGCAUGGCAUAAGAGUGAAAGGCGCUUUCGGGUGUCGCUGAUGGAUGGACCCGCGGUGCAUUAGCUAGCUGGUGAGGUAACGGCUCACCAAGGCCACGAUGCAUAGCCGACGUGAGAGGGUGGUCGGCCACACUGGGACUGAGACACGGCCCAGACUCCUACGGGAGGCAGCAGUAGGGAAUCUUCGGCAAUGGACGAAAGUCUGACCGAGCAACGCCGCGUGAGUGAAGAAGGUGUUCGGAUCGUAAAACUCUGUUGUUAGAGAAGAACAAGGACGUUAGUAACUGAACGUCCCCUGACGGUAUCUAACCAGAAAGCCACGGCUAACUACGUG
Molecule: ribosomal RNA, 508 nt
Filed under: uncultured bacterium
Lineage: Bacteria
Description: partial 16S ribosomal RNA
Rfam family: Bacterial small subunit ribosomal RNA
Source: RNAcentral